RNAcentral lists this ribosomal RNA (446 nucleotides) under uncultured bacterium. Its description in RNAcentral is "partial 16S ribosomal RNA". It matches the Rfam family "Bacterial small subunit ribosomal RNA", at positions 330 to 793 of the family's 1533-position model. The record is from RNAcentral.
UCCAGACUCCUACGGGAGGCAGCAGUAGGGAAUAUUGCUCAAUGGGGGAAACCCUGAACCAGCAACGCCGCGUGGAGGAUGAAGGUUUUCUGAUUGUAAACUCCUUUUGUUAGAGAAGAUAAUGACGGUAUCUAACGAAUAUGCACCGGCUAACUCCGUGCCAGCAGCCGCGGUAAUGCGGAGGGUGCAAGCGUUACUCGGAAUUACUGGGCGUAAAGAGCGAGUAAGCGGGAUAGCAAGUCAGAUGUGAAAUCCGAUGGGUUAACCAUAGAACUGCAGUUGAAACUGGUAUUCUUGAGUAUGGGAGAAGUAGGUGGAAUUCGUGGUGUAGGGGUAAAAUGCGUAGAUAUCAAGAGGAAUUCCGAUUGCGAAGGCGGCCUGCUAGAACCUAACUGACGCUGAAGCGCGAAAGCGUGGGGAGCAAACAGGAUUAGAUACCCGUGUAU